AGACUAUCCAAGAACUCAAGCUGUACAAAGGCAUGGAACUGAUUUCCUUUCCCGUCAAACUGAUUGGUGAGGGGAGAAGCUCUCCCAAAUUUCAGAUGUAAGAUCCAGCCCAAACGUUUCAAGAGGUUAGCAAAACACACAUCAGAAGGAACCUCAACAGAGCAGCAUGUGAAGAAGGGUCAGCCGAAGAACAACACAAAGAAUAG
Molecule: long non-coding RNA, 206 nt
Organism: Stegostoma tigrinum
Lineage: Eukaryota; Metazoa; Chordata; Chondrichthyes; Orectolobiformes; Stegostomatidae
Exons: 3
Source: RefSeq, a predicted model, not a curated record